Molecule: ribosomal RNA, 468 nt
Filed under: uncultured bacterium
Lineage: Bacteria
Description: partial 16S ribosomal RNA
Rfam family: Bacterial small subunit ribosomal RNA
Source: RNAcentral
GACGAACGCUGGCGGCGUGCUUAACACAUGCAAGUCGAACGGAAAGGCCCUGCUUGUGUGGGGUUCUCGAGUGGCGAACGGGUGAGUAACACGUGAGUAACCUGCCCUUGACUUUGGGAUAACUUCAGGAAACUGGGGCUAAUACCGGAUAGGAGCUCCUGCUGCAUGGUGGGGGUUGGAAAGUUUCGGCUGUUGGGGAUGGACUCGCGGCUUAUCAGCUUGUUGGUGGGGUAGUGGCUUACCAAGGCUUUGACGGGUAGCCGGCCUGAGAGGGUGACCGGCCACAAUGGGACUGCGAUAGGGACCAGAGUCCUACGGGAGGCAGCAGUGGGGAGUAUUGCACAAUGGGCGGAAGCCUGAUGCAGCAACGCCGCGUGCGGGAUGACGGCCUUCGGGUUGUAAACCGCUUUCGCUUGUGACGAAGCGUGAGUGACGGUAAUGGGUAAAGAAGCACCGGCUAACUACGUG